CAGCCGCCACGGGAAUACGUAGGGUGCGAGCGUUAAUCGGAAUUAUUGGGCGUAAAGCGCGCGCAGGCGGUUUCUUAAGUCUGAUGUGAAAGCCCCCGGCUUAACUGGGGAGGGUCAUUGGAAACUGGGAGACUUAGAGUGCAGAAGAGGAGAGUGGAAUUCCAUGUGUAGCGGUGAAAUGCGUAGAUAUAUGGAGGAACACCAGUGGCGAAGGCGACUCUCUGGUCUGUAACUGACGCUGAGGCUCGAAAGCGUGGGUAGCAAACAGGAUUAGAUACCCCUGUAGUCCCUGUCUCUUAUU
RNAcentral lists this ribosomal RNA (301 nucleotides) under uncultured bacterium. Its description in RNAcentral is "partial 16S ribosomal RNA". It matches the Rfam family "Bacterial small subunit ribosomal RNA", at positions 509 to 808 of the family's 1533-position model. The record is from RNAcentral.